UUGCUUCGGUGAUUGACCUAGCGGCGGACGGGUGAGUAAUACUUAGGAAUCUGCCUAUUAAUGGGGGACAACAUCUCGAAAGGGAUGCUAAUACCGCAUACGCCCUACGGGGGAAAGCAGGGGAUCACUUGUGACCUUGCGUUAAUAGAUGAGCCUAAGUCGGAUUAGCUAGUUGGUGGGGUAAAGGCCUACCAAGGCGACGAUCUGUAGCGGGUCUGAGAGGAUGAUCCGCCACACUGGGACUGAGACACGGCCCAGACUCCUACGGGAGGCAGCAGUGGGGAAUAUUGGACAAUGGGGGGAACCCUGAUCCAGCCAUGCCGCGUGUGUGAAGAAGGCCUUAUGGUUGUAAAGCACUUUAAGCGAGGAGGAGGCUCUCUUGGUUAAUACCCAAGAAGAGUGGACGUUACUCGCAGAAUAAGCACCGGCUAACUCUGUGCCAGCAGCCGCGGUAAUACAGGGGGGGGGAGCGUUAAUCGGAUUUACUGGGCGUAAAGCGUGCGUAGGCGGCUUUUUAAGUCGGAUGUGAAAUCCCCGAGCUUAACUUGGGAAUUGCAUUCGAUACUGGGAAGCUAGAGUAUGGGAGAGGAUGGUAGAAUUCCAGGUGUAGCGGUGAAAUGCGUAGAGAUCUGGAGGAAUACCGAUGGCGAAGGCAGCCAUCUGGCCUAAUACUGACGCUGAGGUACGAAAGCAUGGGGAGCAAACAGGAUUAGAUACCCUGGUAGUCCACGCCGUAAACGAUGGGUACUAGGUGUAGGGGGUAUCGACUCCCCCUGUGCCGCCGUAAACACAAUAAGUACCCCGCCUGGGGAGUACGGUCGCAAGAUUAAAACUCAAAGGA
Molecule: ribosomal RNA, 841 nt
Filed under: uncultured Acinetobacter sp.
Lineage: Bacteria; Pseudomonadati; Pseudomonadota; Gammaproteobacteria; Moraxellales; Moraxellaceae
Description: bacterial SSU rRNA
Rfam family: Bacterial small subunit ribosomal RNA
Source: RNAcentral